GACGAACGCUGGCGGCGUGCUUAACACAUGCAAGUCGAGCGGUAAGGCCCUUUCGGGGUACGACGAGCGGCGAACGGGUGAGUAACACGUGGGUGACCUGCCCUCAGCUCUGGGAUAAGCCUGGGAAACCGGGUCUAAUACUGGAUAUGACUCCAUGACGCAUGUUGUGGGGUGGAAAGCCUUGUGCGGCUGAGGAUGGGCCCGCGGCCUAUCAGCUUGUUGGUGGGGUGANGGCCUACCAAGGCGACGACGGGUAGCCGGCCUGAGAGGGCGACCGGCCACACUGGGACUGAGACACGGCCCAGACUCCGUACGGGAGGCAGCAGUGGGGAAUCUUGCGCAAGUGGGCGAAAGCCCUGACGCAGCGACGCCGCGUGAGGGAUGACGGCCU
This 391-nucleotide ribosomal RNA is filed under the name uncultured bacterium. RNAcentral describes it as "bacterial SSU rRNA". It matches the Rfam family "Bacterial small subunit ribosomal RNA", at positions 28 to 417 of the family's 1533-position model. The record is from RNAcentral.